Molecule: long non-coding RNA, 1000 nt
Filed under: Phasianus colchicus (ring-necked pheasant)
Lineage: Eukaryota; Metazoa; Chordata; Aves; Galliformes; Phasianidae
Description: lncRNA (ENSPCLG00000019473.1)
Source: RNAcentral
CGUCAUCACUCAGCUGUCACUGGUGCUUGUGUGGCUCCAUCUCCAUAGCACCCAGUGCCUCUCUGGCUCUAGCAUCUCUGCAGCAUGCCCACGAGGAGCAGCAGGAUGGCUGUUUCUGGAGAACACACCUAAUCCAUACCUGAACCUCCGGGCCAGUGGGGAGAAGGUCUGAGGGAGGGGAAAUCCUUCUUUUCCAUGCAGGCCUUGAUGGAGCAGUUGAUCUGAACACUUGGGGGCCUCUGAGCUGAGUCCCAAUCCUGCCAAAAUCGGUUGUCUGGGGGGAAGGUUCCCUGUAUUCACACUGCAACAGCAACAAGCAGACCGUGUGGGCACAGAGGGGUCUGAGGAAAUCUGCAGGAGGUAAAUAGAAAUAAAUCGGAGGGAAUCUGUCUCUCCAUCAGCUGCAUCCCUGAAGGGUAAUCUUUGGUCUUGGGCAGACAAGGGUAAGGGGGUUUUGCUAUGGCCUUCCUGAUACUAGUCUUGACCACCUGCCAAUGCUCUGUGGCACGUGGAAACCCCAGAGGCCAAAACAGAAGAGGAGGUGUUGUGGCACCUACCUGGUGCAGCAGCAACAGGAGCGAGUGGCUGAAUCCUUGGCAGUGAAUCUCACAGCUGUGGACACCCAGCUGGGAUUUCUCCAGGGCAGAUUGGACAGUGAAGAGAAUGGGACAUGUGUCAAAAUAGCCAGAAGGGACCCACUGAGUACACCCUCACUCACUUCACCAUCGUUCUUUUCAAAUCAGCUCUGGGCAAUCACCAAGUGUUGAUUCUACACCAUCACAUGCCAUCAUAUCAAAGAUCCCUCCCAGGGGCUCUCCAGGUCCUCCAGGGCUGGGCUGUGCAGCACCAGGGCUGGGAAGGCGUCGGGAGCUGCUGCAGGAGAGCACAGGCUGGCACUUGAGAGCAGAAAUGAGAAGAUCGAGGUGGCAGAAUAUAUUUUAUGACAAAUCCUAAAAGGAAAUUAUGCAAAGUAAUAAAAUAAAGAAGAAUUGUAAAUGAG